Molecule: long non-coding RNA, 1892 nt
Organism: Homo sapiens (human)
Lineage: Eukaryota; Metazoa; Chordata; Mammalia; Primates; Hominidae
Exons: 2
Source: RefSeq, a predicted model, not a curated record
CAAUCUGGGCAACAUAGGGAGACCCCAGCUCUAUAAAAUAAAUUUUAAAAACACACACACAAAACCAAAGAAAAUUAGCAGGGUGUGUUGGCACCUGCUUGUUGUCCUAGCUACUCAGGAGGCUGAGGUGGAAAGAUAGCUUGAGCCCAGGAGAUCAAGGCUGCAGUGAGCCAUGUUCAUUCCACUGCACUUCAGCCUGGACAACAGAGUGAGACCCUGUCUCAAAAAUAAAUAAAUAAAACAAAGAAUAGGUGUAUCCAUACAACGAAAUAUUAUCAAUCCAUAAAAAGAAUGAAGUUCUGACACCUGCUACAACAUGGGCGAAUCUAGAAAACACUAUCCGAAGUACAAGAAACCAGACACAACAGGACGAAUAUUACACAAUGCCCUUUCCAUGUAAGGUCUGGAACAGCAAAGCCAUAGAGACAGAAAGGAGAUUCAUGGUUGCCAGGGGCUGGGGAGAAGAGAAGGGAAAUGACUCCCUGGGGGCACAGGGUUUCUUUCUGCAACGAUGAACAUGUUCUGACUUAGAUAGUGGUGACGUGUGCACAACCACUGAAAUGUGCCAUUUAAAGGGGUGACCUUUAUGGUACGUUAAUUAUAUCUGAAAUUUUUUAAAAAGCCAAGGGACCAGGUGCAGUGGCUCAAGCCUAUUAUCCCAGCACUUUGGGAGGCCGAUGCAGGAGGACCACUUGAGACUAGCCUGGGCAACAUAAUGGGACCUCGUGUCUCCAAACACUAAAAAAUAAAAUAAACUAGGCAUGGUGGUGUGCACCUGUAGUCCCAGCUACUCAGGAGACUCAGGUGGGAGGAUUGCUUGAGCCCAGAAGGUGGAGGCUGCAGUGAGACGUGUUCCUUCCGCUACACUCUAGCCUGGAUGACAGAGGGAGACCCUGUCUCAAAAAACAAAAACAGGGAGCCCUCACAGAGAGCAGCCUCCAGGGAUGGCUGCCCUGCUUAUUUUUCUAUUGGAUCUGUAUUUGCUUUUUCUAAAACCUCUAUGUGAAAACAUCCAACCUUUGAGCAGAAGAUCUAUGCAACAGCUUGCCGGAGGGAGUGGAAGUAAGGAAAUGCUGAUGGAUUUUGUUUGGUGGUGGUGAUUGGGGUGGGGUGCAGGGGACUUUUACUGUUAUUUCUAGUGUUUUAUUUGACUGUCAAAUAUCUGCUCAGCCACUUUAAAACAGCAGGAUGGGAAUGCAAAGCCAAAUAAUUCAAGAUAACAUUUUUUGCUUCAUUCCCUAGAUGGUAUCAGUAACUCUACAGACUAACAGCAGUUCCAGCUGGUGGGUCCCUCAUGCUUCGUGAACUAUUUGUACCAGACGGAAAGUCUGUAAAUAAAUCUUCUCUCUGUGUCUUUUAGCUUCAGCCAGAACUAUCUCUUUCUCUUCAUGGCUCCCAAUUUCAACCAGACAGUACGGUAUCAUGGAAUCAAUUCAUCAGUUCAUCACCAUAUUUUUUGGUCUUCAAAGUAAACCAAGCUUGUCACCUGAAAGUGAAACUUCCUUCAAUGUAUUUGUUUGUUUUUGUUUUUGUUUUGUUUUUUAGACGGGGCUUCACUCUUGUUGCCCCAGCUGGAGUGCAAUGGCGCGAUCUCAGCUGACUGCAACCUCCUCCUCCCAGGUUGCCUAUAAUGCUUUACAAUUAUGAAGGAUAAUGCUACCAGGAAUAUCUUCAUCUGUGUGGCUUUUUCAUGGUCUGAAGCAUUCCUUCAAGAUCCAUGCUCUGAUAUUGUGAGACUGCCAGGAGCUUUGAUACACUGCACCAAACUGUUUGACCAGAGUUGAAGCAUUUAAUAAGGAUCCCGACAACAAACAAAACAGCCAGCUAGCACACUAAGGCCAGGAGCCUAUUUUGCUCAUCCUGUAUUUAAAUAUAAUAUAUUGUACUUCUGA